UUACUACUUCCUCUGUCCGAAAAAACUUGUUCCAAACUUGUCUUUCAAAUGGAUGUAUCUAGCACCUACUUGGGGCUAGAUACAUCCAUUUGAGGGACAAGAUUUUUCGAACGGAGGGAGUAAUUA
This is a non-coding RNA of Triticum urartu, 126 nucleotides long. Lineage: Eukaryota; Viridiplantae; Streptophyta; Magnoliopsida; Poales; Poaceae. The record is from Rfam.